Molecule: ribosomal RNA, 591 nt
Filed under: Puerulus sewelli
Lineage: Eukaryota; Metazoa; Arthropoda; Malacostraca; Decapoda; Palinuridae
Description: partial 12S ribosomal RNA
Source: RNAcentral
GGUUACACUUAGGGGCCGAGUAAAAAUGAGUAAGUUGUCUAGUUAAAUUGAUAUGGAUUGGAAGUGUAUCCUCACUUUACCAAAAGGUGAAAUUUAUUGGGUAAUGUGUUACGUGAGGAGAUAUUAGGGUUUAUUCUAAUUGAGGCUAGGGAGGUUUGGGUAUGGACUAGGAUUAGACACCCUACUACACCAAAAGCAAAUAAAGGGGACUAGAGUAGUAAAAAUUAAUUUGUUCAAAAUUCAAAGAAUUUGGCGGUAUUUUAGUCUAGUUAGAGGAACCUGUUUUAUAAACGAUAAUCCACGUAAUAUCUUUCUUGCUCUUGUUGUAAGUUAGUAUACCUUCAUUAUUAGACAAUUUAUCGAUAAAAAUUGUUAGAAUUAAACAAAUUUAAGUAUAUUAGAUCACGGUGCUGCUUAUGAGCAAGUAAAAAUGGGUUACAAUGGGAGUUUACCCACGACGGAUAAAGAAGAGAAUCUCUUUUUUUUAAGGCGGAUUUAAUUGUAAUUUGAAGUUUAAUAUGCUUGGAUGAUAUUAGCUCUAAAAUGUGUACAUAUUGCCCGUCGCUUUCAUCAAAUCAGGUGAGAUAAGUC